AGAACGAACGCUGGCGGCAUGCCUAACACAUGCAAGUCGAACGAGACCUUUGGGUCUAGUGGCGCACGGGUGCGUAACGCGUGGGAAUCUGCCCUUGGGUACGGAAUAACAGUGAGAAAUUACUGCUAAUACCGUAUGAUGUCUUCGGACCAAAGAUUUAUCGCCCAGGGAUGAGCCCGCGUUGGAUUAGCUAGUUGGUGGGGUAAAGGCCUACCAAGGCGACGAUCCAUAGCUGGUCUGAGAGGAUGAUCAGCCACACUGGGACUGAGACACGGCCCAGACUCCUACGGGAGGCAGCAGUGGGAAUAUUGGACAAUGGGCGAAAGCCUGAUCCAGCAAUGCCGCGUGAGUGAAGAAGGCCUUAGGGUUGUAAAGCUCUUUUACCCGGGAAGAUAAUGACUGUACUGGGAGAAUAAGCCCGGCUAACUCCGCGCCAGCAGCCGC
RNAcentral lists this ribosomal RNA (444 nucleotides) under uncultured bacterium. Its description in RNAcentral is "SSU rRNA". It matches the Rfam family "Bacterial small subunit ribosomal RNA", at positions 26 to 518 of the family's 1533-position model. The record is from RNAcentral.